Non-coding RNA from Exidia glandulosa HHB12029, 90 nucleotides. The record is from the annotation of a GenBank genome assembly. Lineage: Eukaryota; Fungi; Basidiomycota; Agaricomycetes; Auriculariales; Exidiaceae.
GGCCUGGUGGUCUAGUGGUAUGAUUCAUGCUUAGGGUUGCCCGUUGGGCGCCAAUGCGUGAGGUCCCGGGUUCAAUCCCCGGCUAGGCCC